UUGAGAAACUUUUCCAGAGAGCGUCAAAGGCCUAGAUAUAGUAAUAACAAUUGUACGUGCAAUUAUCUGAUUUUUUAUUUUUUAUUUUUCCCGUCUAAAAUAUGUUUCCAUUGCAGCUUCCAAUUUUGUUCAUCUAUGAGCUUAGAUAAGACAUGUUUUAACUAAUUUUUUUUUUUUUUUUAAAAAAAAUUGUUGCAAUAGAAAAAAAAAACAUAGGGUAGUCUUUCAGUUUACUCUUUUCCCGUUGAAGUUGGUUUAUCUUGAGAAAGACCUGAACAUGUGAAGUUAUCAACUUCUCUGGAAGGUCACUUUAUGUGCGUUUGUUGCAAUCAAAUUUGUUUUUUUUUUUUAACCUUUUAGGUGAAAUUACCAACUUAAUUUUUGUGAGUACUAAUAUCUUAAUAAUAUGCAGAAAGUUGUGAUCAAGAAGAUGGAUAUGCAAGCAACAAAAAGGUUUCUUGCUGAAUUGAAGAUUUUGACGCAUGUACAUCUUGAUCUUGAUUUUGCAUUACUCAAUAUGUCAAUCCGUUCAGUGGUCUGAGCCAUUUAGCUAGCUAACGUGAUACUUUUCCCUAUGAAAGUCAAGAAUGGUGAUUUAGUUCUGCUGUACUUGAGAUUUAUGGAGAAUAAGAGUUAAUAUUUCACAUGUUGAAAUAUUUUCAGUACGUUUGAUAGGAUAUUGUGCUGAAGGAUCUUUGUUCUUAAUAUACGAAUACGUUGAAAAUGUGUAAAUUUUCUAAGAUUCGUUGCUCAAUUUACUGCAUUCUCUGCACCUAAAAUGAAGAGACUUGCGAAGGCUAAUCCGGGUUGGUUGGUCCGGGAAGUCAAGGGAAAGGCAGAUCGUGUACAAUGUCAAUCCUAUAUUUGAUGUCGAUUCAUCCACACUUCUAUUCUCAGUAAAGGAAGGCUAAUUGCUUGCUGGUUGGGAGCUGUAUGAGCAGUAAUGUGCACGUAUGAUUCCGUGAGAAAGUGACAAAAAACAUGGAGAAGAAUCUCCAAGUUAAAAUCAGUUGUAAUCUUUUUUUUAGUAAUUUGGAUUCUGUACCCAGAUCUGUUGAGUUAAGCAAACACGCAGCGGUCAAGGAUGUUUCCCAUCCUUAUACAGGAUCUAAUAUAAUUAGCUAUCAAUGGAUAAAAUGUAUCUAUUGUAUCUGUUUCUACUGUCAA
Lycium barbarum (goji berry) is the source of this 1167-nucleotide long non-coding RNA. RefSeq lists it as uncharacterized. The transcript is spliced from 2 exons. Lineage: Eukaryota; Viridiplantae; Streptophyta; Magnoliopsida; Solanales; Solanaceae. The record is from RefSeq and is a predicted model, not a curated record.